CAGCUGGAGUUGCGCGGGCUGACGCGCCACUAUGUAGCGGGUUUCGGGCGGGCCACGCGUGCGGGACAGGAACCCAACCCCAGCCGACCUUGAGCUCCAGGAGUUCGUCUCUUACGUCUGCGGAAGUGCAGCUGCCUCAGUUCUUAGCGCAGGUUGACAACUACAGGCACAAGCCAUUGAAGCUGGAAUGUCCUGUUGCUGGUAAAGAAAUGGAUUAGUGAUAACUCAAGUUUCAUCACCUCAGAUUGGAAGAUGCUGGCCUUGAAGAUCAGAGUGAGGCAGCCCCCAGGAGCUGGGAGAUGCCAAGGAACACAUUCCCCAUCAGAGCCUCCUGAGGAGCAUCAUUUGAUUUGGCUCAGUGAAACUGAUUUCUGACUUCUGGCCUUCAGAACUGAGAAUAAAUUGCUGUUUUAAGCCACCAAGUUAUAAUUUGUUACAGCAGCCUCUAAGAUCACAAAUAUAGCUGGGGCAAGAACCCCACCACCUCAGCCUUCCUCCC
This 499-nucleotide long non-coding RNA is filed under the name Homo sapiens (human). RNAcentral's name for it is "differentiation antagonizing non-protein coding RNA". The record is from RNAcentral. Lineage: Eukaryota; Metazoa; Chordata; Mammalia; Primates; Hominidae.